CCUACGGGAGGCAGCAGUGGGGAAUAUUGGUCAAUGGACGCAAGUCUGAACCAGCGACGCCGCGUGCGGGAAGACGGCUCUCUGAGUGGUAAACUGCUUUUGUACGAGGGUAAACGCAGAUACGCGUCUCUGUCUGCAAGUAUCGUACGAAUAAGGAUCGGCUAACUCCGUGCCAGCAGCCGCGGUAAUACGGAGGAUUCAAGCGUUAUCCGGAUUUAUUGGGUUUAAAGGGUGCGUAGGCGGUCGGCUAAGUUAGAGGUGAAAGCCCGAGGCUCAACUUCGGAAGUGCCUUUGAUACUGUUCGGCUAGAGAGUAGAUGCGGUAGGCGGAAUGGAUGGUGUAGCGGUGAAAUGCUUAGAGAUCA
RNAcentral lists this ribosomal RNA (364 nucleotides) under uncultured bacterium. Its description in RNAcentral is "partial 16S ribosomal RNA". It matches the Rfam family "Bacterial small subunit ribosomal RNA", at positions 338 to 699 of the family's 1533-position model. The record is from RNAcentral.